AUACAUUUCAUAGUUCAUAAGUAUGAUGAUUGGGUUUUCACACUCAUGUAUGAGAUGUGCCUCUCUAAAACUUUCUUACAACAUUGGCACAUUACCCCAUCUGAUG
This is a small nucleolar RNA of Macaca fascicularis (crab-eating macaque), 106 nucleotides long. Lineage: Eukaryota; Metazoa; Chordata; Mammalia; Primates; Cercopithecidae. The record is from Ensembl.